This 359-nucleotide long non-coding RNA is filed under the name Nicotiana benthamiana. RNAcentral describes it as "long non-coding RNA (NBEN_LNC002049)". The record is from RNAcentral. Lineage: Eukaryota; Viridiplantae; Streptophyta; Magnoliopsida; Solanales; Solanaceae.
UAAAAUAUAAUUAACAAUUCAUUAAUAAACUCAGUAACCACUGUAUAAUAUUAGUAUUCACAUUUUUGGGAGGUUUCAAUGAACGAAUCAUGUAAUCAGUAUAACCGUGGACUUCUUCAGAAGAAGUCAAAUAUAAAGGUAAUCCUUACUCGAGGGAAAUCGAUAACGGUAUGCUAGUUCUACCUUCCCACUAGCGAGGGCUAUAAUGGUAAUGGGUAAUUACAAGGUGCAACAGGUCUAACAAAUACGCCAUUAGCUAUGGGAUCCUUUAAUGUCUACUCCCAUUUAUACUUGUCACUGUAAUCCAUAUAUACUCGUAGAAACUAUUUAAAAUAAUAUAGCGCAUUUCGGUUCUUAUC